This 330-nucleotide ribosomal RNA is filed under the name Triticum aestivum (bread wheat). Its description in RNAcentral is "partial small subunit ribosomal RNA". Lineage: Eukaryota; Viridiplantae; Streptophyta; Magnoliopsida; Poales; Poaceae. The record is from RNAcentral.
AUGCCAGCACUCAACAUGACAUUCGAAACUGAUGCUCUUGCACACAAAUUUUAUAAUGAAUAUGCAGCAAUCACAGGUUUUUCUAUACAGAAGGUUGGAAACUAUCAUUGCAGAAAAAAAGAUGGCGACAACAACAGAAUGACAAGGUUCACAAUGAAGUGCAAUAGGUCUGGCAAACCUAGAAACAAAAGGAAAUCAACCGCUACAGGAGCUAAAAGGAGGAAGUACAAAGAAGGUCAAAAUGCACCUACUGAACUAGAGAAUACAACUGAUAGACGAAGAAACUACACAAUCAAGACAGAGUGUCCAGCUCAGAUGGUUGUUACCUAG